UUGUGCUAUUUUUUGCAAGCU
This 21-nucleotide non-coding RNA is filed under the name Caenorhabditis elegans. Lineage: Eukaryota; Metazoa; Nematoda; Chromadorea; Rhabditida; Rhabditidae. The record is from RNAcentral.